RNAcentral lists this transfer RNA (65 nucleotides) under Chrysolina haemoptera. RNAcentral describes it as "tRNA-Lys". Lineage: Eukaryota; Metazoa; Arthropoda; Insecta; Coleoptera; Chrysomelidae. The record is from RNAcentral.
CAUUAGGUGGCCGAAAAUAAGCAAUGGAAUUUUAAACCAUAUUAUAGUAUAAAUUACUUCUAAUG